UCUAAUGCGGCUGAAAGCAAGACUGUCAGAGCUAAGGAGUAAGAAGGAAACAAGUUCAGAUCUGAGAAAUCGUGGUGGAAUCGGUCCAGUCAGAAGAAGAAAUUCUGGAAUUGUGAAUGGCAUAGAAAACUUCUUGUUAGCCCCAACUCCAAAAGUUCCAGACGCCCUUACUCAUCAUUCAGAAAGACUCCAGGCUACCAAAAGGGCGCCAGAGGCCUUUGUGUCUAUUCAACUAGAAAAGGUGGGGCUGCGGGACAUGAUGCUGAACGCCUUCCUUCUCAGGAAACAAACCAUGGGCGACAGAAUGAAGAACCAUGUGAGUUUAGAGAGAAGGACUCACUAAACCAGUGUAAAGCUCUCAGUAUCUUUUACAUUUGAACAAAUAAAAAUUCCUAACUUUUAAUCUGUUGCUUUCAGCCUGUUUGGAUAGGACUAUUGAAAAUAUAAAGAACUAUACAAGGGAAUUCAAUAAGAAAUAGAAAGGAAGCAAUUCAAGCUAAUUGCAGUCUAGUUUUAAGAAUA
Molecule: long non-coding RNA, 522 nt
Filed under: Suricata suricatta (meerkat)
Lineage: Eukaryota; Metazoa; Chordata; Mammalia; Carnivora; Herpestidae
Description: lncRNA (ENSSSUG00005009364.1)
Source: RNAcentral